RNAcentral lists this ribosomal RNA (495 nucleotides) under uncultured bacterium. Its description in RNAcentral is "bacterial SSU rRNA". It matches the Rfam family "Bacterial small subunit ribosomal RNA", at positions 21 to 507 of the family's 1533-position model. The record is from RNAcentral.
GGCUCAGGAUGAACGCUAGCGGCAGGCUUAAUACAUGCAAGUCGAGGGGCAGCAUGGUGUAGCAAUACACUGAUGGCGACCGGCAAACGGGUGCGGAACACGUACAGAACCUUCCUUCGAGCGGGGAAUAGCCCAGAGAAAUUUGGAUUAAUACCGCAUAAUAUGCCGAGGUCGCAUGACUUUGGUAUUAAAGCAGCAAUGCACUUAGAGAUGAGUGUGCGUCCCAUUAGGUAGUUGGUGAGGUAACGGCUCACCAAGCCUAUGAUGGGUAGCCGGUCUGAGAGGAUGGUCGGCCACACGGGCACUGAGACACGGGCCCGACUCCUACGGGAGGCAGCAGUAAGGAAUAUUGGUCAAUGGUGGAAGCACUGAACCAGCCAUGCCGCGUGGAGGAAUAAGGUCCUACGGAUUGUAAACUCCUUUUGACGAGGAAGAAAGUGUUAGAUUUAUCUAAUUUUGACGGUACUCGUAGAAUAAGCACCGGCUAACUCCGUG